RNAcentral lists this long non-coding RNA (2266 nucleotides) under Canis lupus familiaris (dog). RNAcentral's name for it is "lncRNA (ENSCAFG00000055928.1)". The record is from RNAcentral. Lineage: Eukaryota; Metazoa; Chordata; Mammalia; Carnivora; Canidae.
UUUUUUUGUUUCUUUUUUUCUUUUUCUUUCUUUCUUUUAACUUACCAGACUCUAUAAAGUUUUGUUCCACUCAGUAGUAAAAUAGUAUAGUACUUAUUCUAUCACAAUUGUAAUCAUGGUAAAUGCCUUUCAGAUACCAAACUCCAAGUAUGUUUAAGAGUAUGUUUAACAUGAUUACCAUUGUGAUCGAAUGAGUACCAUACUAUUUCACCACUGAAUAAAACAAAGACUGAUAGAGUCUAAUCAACUCAAAGAAAGAAAAAGAAAGAAAGUGUGUGUGUGGGAAGAUAGAUAGAUGAUAGAUAGAUAGAUAGAUAGAUAGAUAGAUAGAUAGAUGGACUGACCUGUUUAAUUACAACAAUAUGCAGCCUUGCAAAAUGAGACAUCAUCCACCUUUUAAAAAUUAAGGCAGUUCGGGGUCCAUGGCUAUUAAAUCAAGUUUCUACAGCUAGCACAUUCACAGCAGAGAUUCAAUCCUGGGUCAGCCUUAUCGCAAAGCCUAUAAUCUUUCCAUUUGUCAAAAUCACCUCACUACACCCAGAAAAUGUGACAGAUUUUAGGGAAAAGCCUCUAUCUUAUUAAUCAAUGUCUGUCUGGGGUUCACCCUGUAUACUAGGCUUCAUACAGACUGACUAACUGAAGUUCAGAGACAUUUACUGAUAGAAAAAGAGACUCUCAUAUAUAUUGUAGGAUAGAUUUGAAGUGUUCAGGUGGCUGAGCAUUCAGGCUAAUGGUUUCAAUUGCUGGUCUAUGAGCAAGAUUGGAUAGAAACUUUCUUAUAUUUGAAAACUGUUCAAGAAAAAUCAUUCUGUUUUUUUUGUUUUCCAUGCUCAGUCUUCCUUGAAACUUAAAAGUAUAGGAAGGUAUGACAUAGCCUGUUAGCAUUUUCUCUGUUUCUGUUAGUUCUUUCCACUAGAGAAAUAUUCAGUAAGUUAUUAUUUACUGGGCAAAUAUCAUGUGUGAGAUAUUUUGCAUACAUUCACAAUACUCUAAUUGUUUGGAACUUUAUAGUUUAUGAAUGGUAGCGAAGUUUUAUAUGCUAUAAAAACCUAGGCACUCUGUCAUAUUUUCACAUCAAGAUCUAUAACUAUUUUUUCCUUCUUCUUGCAUUGGGCAAACCCAGUUUCCUUUCAUAUCCUUAGGAAUCCCAACUUGAGGAAUAUUAAAAUUCACUAUGUCUUCUAUGAAUAAAGUGAUAUUAAAAAUAAUCCCUUGAUAGUCAACUCAAAUGACCCCCUCCCAACUCUACAACUAGCAGAUAGAGAUAAAUGCUAAGAAAUUCAUACAACUUCAUAUUACAUAAUAUUUCAUACCAAAUGAUACUUACUUGUCAUUCUGCUUUGGUUCACAUAGUAAUGUAUUUUUUAUACUUUAUAUAGUAAAUGUUCCUAUAAAAGAUUUCAAAAUAAUAUCUUCCAAAAGAAACCCCAAAAUAAUAUCUUCCAAAAGACAAAACAAUACAAAUAUAGUAUUUAAUACUAUACGCAAUAAAGUAGCAUAUAAAAACACUAUUAUUUACAAAUGGCAGAACAUAGAUGUUGGUAACAAGCACCUCAAAUAAAGACUUUAUUUUUUCAUUGUUUAUUUAUUUUUAAAAGAUUUUAUUUAUUUAUUCAUGAGAGACACAAAGAGAGAAAAGCAGAGACACAGGCAGAGGGAGAAGCAGGCUCCAUGCAGGGAGCCUGAGGUGGGACUCAAUCUUGGGACUCCAGGAUCACAUCCUAAGCCAAAGGCAUAUGCUCAACUGCUGAUCUACCCAGACGUCCCAUAAAUAUUUUAUUAUUCAAUAACAAUUUUGGAAGGAACUGUUCGAUCUUCCUUACUGACAGUUAAAAAUUGUACAUUCUCAUUGAUUUUGACACACUGCCCCUGAAAGACUAUUAUGGACAUUCCAGUUGUUUAAUAAUUAUUUCAAAUAUUCACCCAAAAUAAUCUUCAUGGAACUUCCCCAUUAUUUUAAAUGGUCAGUUCUGGACACAUAAUAAGUAGCAGUGAACAUACAUAAUGCAUAAGAGCAACUGUGCAUGAGAAGGUUCUUUUAUUUUUUUUCUGAAUUUUGAUGUAAUUGUCAAGACCAUUAGGAUAAAAAAUAAAUUACCAUUUUUGAAGUUGGGAGAACAUAUCACUAUUUUUAUCAGCUGUAGUACUCAAUGAUUGCACAUGUUGAUAAUAAGAAAUAGAGUUUUUUUUUUUUUUCCAACAGAUGAUAAGAAUUCUGCCAAUUCUGAAAAUCUAUAACCCUAGAGCCACUCGGACUCUAAUGGAA